RNAcentral lists this long non-coding RNA (1715 nucleotides) under Medicago truncatula (barrel medic). RNAcentral's name for it is "long non-coding RNA (MTRU_LNC005544)". The record is from RNAcentral. Lineage: Eukaryota; Viridiplantae; Streptophyta; Magnoliopsida; Fabales; Fabaceae.
UAAAAACAAUAGUAAUUACAAACAUAUUUAACACAAAUAUUCACUGUCUUAAUUCCCAUUAUUUUUUUAAAAGAGUGAUGUAAUUAGAGAGAGGGGGUAAUAUAUAGUUUCUGAAUAGCUCCAGGUCUAAUUAAUGGCAUGCCGUCCUGGACGGACAAGGAUUUCGCGUAGAACUCGCGUACACGCGACAAGUACAAAGUUCCAGACAAGAUUGGAUAAUUUUUUUUCUCAAAUAAUAUUUAUUUAUUUUGGUUAAUAUUUAUCUUUUAAAACACGAUAUUCCUUUACCCUCUGAUAUAAAUAAUAGAAACAUGCAAUCCAUCACAUAAAUAUGUGAAGUUAUAUAUAUCAUUCAUUAUUUGGGUUCAAAAUUUUAGAUUAUUUAGCAUGAACGUGUCAUCAUGUACACACCAAGUGCCCAAACACAAACAAGAAUAAAUUUACUCCUUAGUGCAUUCACCUCAUAUUUUCCAACUUGGAAGUAUAAUAUAUUUUUUAUUACUAACACUGUUAACUUUUAGAAUGAAUGAAUCUUGUGGACUUUUGCUUACAACAUCAUGUAGACAUGUACAUUCUACACGACGCAAUAGAGAGGGAACAUCAAAAUUUUCGGCAUGUUUCACACCAGCCAAACGUAAUGGGUUAAGCUAUUAUAUCCUGACUCGUGUCGAUUACUGCUGCUGCGGGACCUAACCUCACGUAUAUCAGACAUUUACUAAUGACAAAAUGAGACUAAUAUGAAAUCACAAUAAAUGUAAAAGGAUUGACAGAUGAAGAAAAAUAAAAUUAUAUCACAAUAGGAUGCCUAGUUACCGUCUUUUGACAAACCAGCUUUAAUAUCAUCAAGUUGGGCAAAUGCAUCGGGGAUCUUUAAGUUUAGAUCUAUUAACGAGUAUUUUCGGUGCACUUUUUAAGCAUUUUAAAUUAGAUAAUUAUUCAUUAAAAAUAUUAAAGUUUUCAAUUUUCAAUGUAUUUUAUUACAUAAAAUUUCAUUAAAAUUACAAUUUAAAGUUCUUAACCAGUGUCCUGGGUACUAGUUAACAUUUUCCUUUAAGUUUUAAGUUUGUAUCAGAUUUCGUGUUUUAAAUUUUAUAUUGACCAUAUAGUUUAGGAAAAGUGUGCACGUGAUCUUUAAGUUAUAAAAUGUAUCGAGCAUUACUCUCUUUUGCAUCAAACGUGGUUAAAAAGUGUUUACAUAGAUAUUUAUUACUAAGUUUGUAGUAAAUUCACCACUCUAAAAUAUAUAGUUUAUAGGUAUUCAAUUUUGAUUUGAAACAAAAUUGAUUGAUUAAUUGAUUUAUAAUAUUGUUGAUGAAAUAUUAAUUUGUAAAAUUAAAAUUGGAAAAACAAUGAAAAAAAAAAUGUAUGCAAGUAUUCAUGUUAGGUGUUAUAAAUAUUUUUUUGAAACAUUCAUCUCAAUGUUAAAUGAUCCUGUAAACACUUAUUAACAAAGUUAAAUGAAAAAAGAUCAUUUGAAACCAAAAAAAUUAAAAUGCUAAUUUGUUCAUUUUUACUUACAUAGAUAACCAAUUUAAAACUAAAAAGAUUCAUCUAACACAAACUUUAAAUUUAAAGAACCUCGUUCAAAUAUACACUAAUUCAAAAGACCCGUGACAUGCAAGCAAUGUAGUAACUUUCUGCAUUUUAACCCAACUAGUGGUGCCAUGUUUUUCUAAAAGAAAAAAGAGGUAAACUGUCAUAUGAACUAAAAUAAU